UAAGUACCUCGAAAGUUUCCUCCUCUUCUAAUUAGCAUGUCAUAUCAGUAAACCAUCAUUUUUUAAAAAAUAAUAAACAUAUUAACUCCACAAACUCAUUUAACAAAAAUAAUAGUUUUAUCUUUUUAAAAAUAUAUAUUAUUUUAUUAAGAAGAAAUUCUCAUACUUAGGUAUUUAUACUUUUUUUAUAGAGUUAAUUUCCUAGAUAAUCAUUCUGGUUUUUAUAUAUAAUUGCCUACAAAGAUCAGUUAUUUUCUAAAUAAAAUAAU
RNAcentral lists this long non-coding RNA (269 nucleotides) under Capsicum annuum. RNAcentral describes it as "long non-coding RNA (CANN_LNC017900)". The record is from RNAcentral. Lineage: Eukaryota; Viridiplantae; Streptophyta; Magnoliopsida; Solanales; Solanaceae.